GCAGCCUCUGCAAAACCUAUAGGGCGCCCUCUUUUGACAACUAGGAUUGUACUUGUUGAAAGCACAUUGUUUUUAGUAGCCAUCUUUAUUGCAUGUUGUAAAUUGUACUCCAGAGCAUCUAAAAGGACCACCAGAACCUGAUUGUUUUUAAGGCCUAAAUAACCCCCAGAAGAAGCAAGGAGGUAUUGUUUAAUGAUUACUCAUAUCAUUGAGGACUUUCUAGAGUCUUUUGAAGCUUUAGUUUAUUCAGUUUUUAUAAGAAAGGCACUGGACUCUCAUUUAUAUGUUAUUUGCAUGUAAACAUAGUGUAAUUCCAUGAUAUUGAACUUUGUAUUUGGAUUUGUUCUUGUAAUUGCAGUUUUCACGGAGCUUUGCCAGUUCAUGUUUCGUAUUCAAUGGAUGGAACUGUAGCCUAGAUCACAGAGCCUCAAUUAUUGGAGAUUAUUUGAACUUGAGCCUGUGUGCUGAUCCCUGAUCCUUGAAUCUUUGUUCUGUACUGGAGCUGUUACCAUACUGAAGUGAGAGCUUUACAAUACAUUCUUGAAACAGCAAGCUUCUGUCGAGACCCUUGUUUAUUUGUCUUCAUCUUAUUUUGCGAGACACUGCGCCCCCUAGUGGCACACCUUAACAUAGGCCACCGACUUCAUGCGAAUCGAUAAGGCUGCCGCUACAGUGAAAACUCCGAACAUAACUUGAAAUCAUCAAGAACUACGAGAUUAGCCUGUCCUCAUUUGGAACCUGGAAUGCUGAAACAUCUUGAGACGAGACUUUCUACCAACUCACCUUAAAUCCAUCCUGGCUUUGAUGUGUUUCCUGCGAACAACUGGAACUACAGUACAUGUACCUGUCAUUCCUGUGUACUACGAGUGCGACAGUUUUGCGAAGUUUCCUCUCACCGCUGCCCCCCCCCCCCCUGUCAUCAUCACUGCGAGAACAGCCAAGCAAGAGGACAUGCACCGACACCGUAGGAGAGAGGGAUCAUUCUCUGAAGCUGUAUUCUGAACUGCUGGUCCCAAGAACUUAUUUGAAAUAACUUUUGUUACACAAUCAAGUUAAUUUGUGUGCCUUGCGUAUAAUUAUUGUAGAUUUGCAUCACAAAUUGUAAGCAUAAAAUGGGAAUGUUUCCAUCAGCAGUAAUUGUGUAACAUACAGACCUGCAUAUUACAGUAUUGCGGAAUUACAUUUGCUCAUCAUUGUAUCAUAACGUGUAUUGUACAUGCGUUUCAUACAUAACCUUUUGUAUAUGUAAACAAAAAUGGGUUUGUGUAUACUGUACAACAUACAUGUAUCCUGUAGGUUUAACCACUGUUUAUAUGAUGGUGCAUACUAUUAAUAUGAAUGUACAUUGAUGCGCACACUUUCACUUGGAGGUUUAUCCCAAUACAGUAAAUAGGUUUUGGCCAUGUCACGCACAGACACAGACGAAAGCAAUGCUGCGACUGCCCAGGCUGAGGGAGGUGAGGAUGGAAAUGGAGUCGAAACCGCCCGAGAAAGACAACUCACAGAGAAAGGUUUACUGUGGCAAGUCAGCCUACAUGAGCGGAGGUUCCGAAGUUCCCUGUCAGCCUGGCAUAGAUGUGCCAACCAAUUGGAGGAAUUAUUAUCAGAUUCAAAUCAAGUCUCUGCAAUUAAAGCUGGACGAGAUGCCAUGCAUAAAGCCAUGCAACAGCUGCAGGAGUCAAGUCACCAACUUGAAGAAUUGCAGGCAGCAGAAUAUUGGGUCAGUGAACUUUGUAGAAAAUAUGAGAGGACUGAAGAGGAAAACCAUCAUCUUGUGAAAAGAGCUUGCGAACGCAUCAUCGACCUUGAAGAUAAUCUGCGUGAGAUGAGAUCCAGAAUGUCUGAAAAAAGUCAUUAUUCAAGACGAUCUGCAAGCUCGAAAGGUUCCGGUGCUAUUGACAGAGCUGCUGUUGCUGCUGAAGCUGCAGCCCUUAAAGCCAAGCUGAAAUUCGCUGACAUAGAGGCAAACAAACGAGCAGAAUUGGAACUUAAGAAAGCAGAACUCGAGCAACUAAACACAAUGAAAGACUUGCACGCUGCAGAGGCAACGUUAGAGGCAAUUGAUCAGGCACAAGACCAACACUUGUUUGGCUCCCAAGGGAGUCUGGCUGGUAUACCUGCACAAGAGAAAAGUGCCCUUGUUGCAGAUUACUUGAUGAGACAAGGGGAGCUUGAUACUUCAAAGGGUGUUACUAACGACACAACACCUGCAUUUGGCAUGAAGCCACCGGCAGAUACGAACAACCAUGCGAACAAUUCUCCAGUAGAGAUGUCUCACACUCCAGCAUCUAAGGCAAAUGUUGAGCAGCCAAUGACAGGAUCGAUGUGCCACCCUCAGACCAUGCAAAAUUCAGACAAGUGUGGAGCCACUAAACCUGCCAGCAACUCUCAAAGCACUACUGAGAGCACGAACAAUUCACCACCUCUUGCAGUCACAUCUACAACCCAAGUACAUACUACUGAAGCGGUUUCAAACGAACCACAACAGCAGCUGAUAGACUUUACCAAGUCCCUUGCGAAGCAACUGAGCUUAAGUCGGCUGCCCCCUCCAGAACCAGGAGUGUUUGUGGGUGAUGCACUUAAAUAUCCCAACUGGAAAAGUGCAUUUGAAACACUGAUUGAACAACGUGGGAUUCCCUCAUCAGAGCAACUCCAUUACUUGAAGAAAUACACUGGAGGUGCAGCAAGAGAGGCAAUCGAAGGCUACUUCUAUCUCACUACCGACGAUGCAUACAACCAAGCAAAGAAACUACUAGAGAAACGCUAUGGAGAUCCAUUUGUCGUCGCAAAUGCCUUCAGGAACAAACUGGAUUCUUGGCCAAAGAUCCCCACUCGUGAUGGAAUAGCCCUGCGAAACUUUGCGGAUUUUCUGAGACAGUGUGAAACCGCCACAAGGAGCAUUGGCACCUUAGAUGUUCUCAACGAUGAACGCGAAAACAGAAAGAUGCUCUCAAAACUCCCUGACUGGUUAAUCAGCCGAUGGGCCAGAAAGGUUGCGGAUAAGAAGGAAAAGGAUGGAAAGUUUCCUACCUUCUGUGAGUUUGCUAAGUUCAUUGAAAAGGAAGCAAACGUUGCGUGCGAUCCCGUGACCACCCUGCAAGGCCUGAAGGGAGAUGACAAACGAUACAAGUCUUCAGAAUCUCACAGCAAGCCUGACAAGAAUGUCGGAAAACGAACUCCAGGAGCUAAUUCCUUCCCUACCAGAGUAGAUGAGUCUCCAUCCAAGGGACAGAAGGGAAACCACAUGCAGCAAUGGAAGGAGUGUCUUCUAUGCAACAAGACCCACUACCUAGACUCCUGUCCUAUCUUCCUGUCGAAGGAAAUAGGCGAGCGUAAGGAGUUUGCAAAGAAGAAAGGCUUAUGCUUUGGAUGCUUGUCAAAGGGGCACAUGUCAAAGUACUGCCGACGAAGACUGACCUGCAGAACCUGCUCUAAACACCACCCUACAUCCCUGCAUGGCGACACCAAGGAAGAGGUCAAGAUAAGUGUGAACUCAAGUGCAGAAGGAGCCCAACAAGAACAUAAAGCAGUCAGCUCAAACACUCGAAUAAGUCUCUUCAGCGGAGUUGAGGAUUGCAGCCAGAGCUCAAUGACUGUUCCCGUAUGGAUUUCCCAUUGUGAUCGACCAGGACAUGAGCGACUAGUCUACGCAUUACUGGAUACACAAUCUGAUACCACAUUUAUCCUAAGAGACACAUGCGAUGCUCUUGGCCUGGAUGGACCAAAGGUUCAUCUUCUGCUUUCUACCAUGACUGCAAAGGAGCAGAGGGUAUCAAGCCGCAAGAUUAAUGGACUGCUCGUGAGAGGAUACAACAGUGAGACCAAGAUUCCACUACCGAGUACAUACUGCAGAGAAGCCAUCCCAGCUAAUCGUGAUCACAUACCGACGGCAGACAUGGCCAGAAAAUGGCCUCACCUCGAAGGAAUGGCAAAUCACCUGAUGCCUGCAACGGAAUGCGAAAUAGGUCUCCUGAUUGGGUACAACUGCCCACGUGCUCUUGCGCCACGUGAAGUCAUCCACCCAGCAGAAAGCGGCCCAUACGGUCAACGAACAGACCUCGGAUGGUCUAUUGUUGGCAUUGUCAACCCUCACUUUGGAGAAGACGAGGGAAAUGACCCCAUAGGAAUCAGUCACAAGAUAGUCACCUGCAAGGUGCACCCUUUGUCGGAAAAUGAUCAAUCGACAAGUAAGCACGUGAUCUUUUCUAUCAGGAACAAGGUGAAGGAAAUCACUCCAACUGAAUUUUCACAGAUGCUGGAGUUGGAUUUCCCCGAGAAGAAACCAGACGAUACCAACCUGUCGCAGGAAGACAUCCAGUUCUUGGACAAGAUCAGAAAUGGUAUUCAUCAACGAAAUGAUGGUCACUAUGAAAUGCCAUUACCAUUCCGUGGGUCUGAACCGGAUCUCCUGAAUAACAGAUUGAUGGCACUGCACCGCCUCGAACUUCUCAAGACUCGCUUCAAGAAGAAUCCCACGUACCACUCGGACUACACCAACUUUCUACAGGACAUCAUUAGUAAGAACCAUGCGGAGGAAGUGCCUGGCACCCAUGUCAGCAAAUCAAGUGGAGUGUGGUACAUACCACAUCAUGGGGUUUAUCAUCCCAAGAAACCGGGGAAGAUUCGCGUGGUGUUUGAUUGCAGUGCUCAGUAUAAGGGAGAGUCCUUGAAUGACCAUUUACUUCAAGGUCCAGACCUAAUGAACAGCCUCGUCGGGAUACUCUGCAGAUUCCGAUUGCGUCCAGUGGCAUUCAUGUGCGAUGUCGAACAGAUGUUCCACCAGUUUAAAGUCGAAGCAAGGCAUAGAGAUUAUCUGCGAUUCGUAUGGUGGAAAGAUGGCAACUUCAACAACGAACCCACAGAAUACCGAAUGGGUGUACACCUCUUCGGUGCAGUUUCAUCACCCGGAUGUGCAAACUUCGGCCUGAAACAGAUCGCAGAAGACUACGAAGCUAAGUACGGCUCUGAUGCUGCAGACUUUGUUCGACACAACUUCUAUGUUGACGACGGCCUAAAGUCAGUCUCGUCCACAUCUGAAGCUGUCACCUUGAUUAGACAAACCAAAGAAAUGUGUGCACAGGGCGGACUACGACUGCACAAGUUUAUCUCGAAUUCCAGAGAGGUCAUGGAAAACGUCCCACUUGAAGACCGAGCCAGUAAUGUGAAAAUUCUUGACCUCCUCCACGAUGCCCUUCCCAUAGAAAGAGCACUCGGAGUUGAAUGGUGUGUGGAAUCUGAUGCAUUCAACUUCCGCAUUAUCUUGCGAGACAAACCUUUGACGAGGCGUGGAAUUCUUUCCACCAUCUGCUCCAUCUACGAUCCUCUUGGCUUCGUUGCUCCAGUCAUGUUGGUGGGCAGACUCAUUCUUCAAGACUUGUGUAGAGUUCAAGCUGACUGGGACACCCCCUUGAAUGAAGAAAUGAGAUCACGCUGGGAAAAGUGGAGAAAGGACCUACCUCUUCUAGAGAAACUCAAGAUUCCACGAUGUGUUUGUCCAGAGAAGUUUGGGAAGGUGAUUGCUACAGAAAUUCAUCACUUCUCUGACGCGAGUGCUUUUGCUUAUGGUCAGUGCUCGUAUCUCCGUCUCAUUGAUGACAAAGAGAAUGUCCACAGCACAUUGAUAAUGGGAAAGAGCAGGGUCACUCCUCUUAAGCCCAUUACCAUUCCUCGUCUGGAGUUGACCGCUGCUGUCGUCUCAGUGCGAGUCAGCACCUUACUGCAAAAGGAGCUCGACCUAGAUGCCAUAACCGAAGUCUUUUGGACAGACAGUAAAGUGGUUCUAGGCUACGUCAAGAAUGAAUCGCGACGGUUUCAUGUGUUUGUUGCCAAUCGGGUGCAACAAAUAAGAAGUCGCUCUGAUCCUGACCAGUGGAAACAUGUGGGGACGAAGGAGAACCCGGCAGAUGAAGGAUCUCGAGGUUUGAGAGUUGAGGAAAUUCUCACCUCGAAAUGGCUGAAAGGGCCAGACUUUCUCUUGGAAAGAAAACUACCACCUCAAGAAUCAACCGAAUAUCAGACUUCUCCAGAAGAUCCAGAAGUAAAGAAGACAAGCGUGCUGCUGGUGCAGACAGUGAAAUCUGCCGUAGAGCUUGAGCACUUCUCCAAAUGGCGCUCUCUUAGACGAGCCAUAGCAGGAUGUCAGAAGUUCAUGUCUCGACUGAUGGAGGCUGUAAAGGACCAACGUGGAGAGUUGACUGAGAGUUACAAGUCAGAGGCCAACCAUCUUCCUCACUAUUCCCCGGCGACUGUUGAAGACCUGCAGCGAUCCGAACGAACUAUCAUCAAGCUUGUACAAAGCGAAUCCUUCCCAGAGGAGAUACGGAUACUCACCAGUCUAAAUGUCAACGACGGUGACAUAGAUAGACACCUUGCACGGAAGCGGAACAAGUCAAUGAAGCGUACAAGCUCACUCUUCAGGCUGGACCCCUUCAUCGACAACGAAGGCAUCUUGCGUGUUGGAGGACGUAUCAGAAAGGCAGACAUGUCAUUCGAAUUCAAACAUCCAGCCAUCCUUCCAAGAAGACACCACGUCACUAGCCUGAUAAUCCGUCAUUUUCAUGAGCUAGCAGCUCAUCAAGGUCGUGGUACGACGACAAAUGCCAUACGGUCAAAUGGAUUCUGGAUACUGGGAUGCAGUGCUGCAGUUGCCACUCAGAUCUCCAAUUGUGUCAGAUGCCGAAAGUUGUAUGGAAGGGUGCAAGAGCAAAAGAUGGCCAGCCUACCUGAUGAGAGACUUCAGCCAGCACCUCCUUUCACAUUUUGUGGUGUAGACUACUUUGGUCCAUGGCUGAUCAAGGAAGGACGGAAGGAGAUUAAGCGUUACGGGGUCCUCUUCACUUGUUUGGCCUCCCGAGCCAUCCAUAUUGAGGUUGCCAACUCGUUGACUACAGACUCCUUCAUAAAUGCCUUACGCCGAUUUACAGCCAUACGUGGCCCAAUGCGGGUGCUGAGGUCUGACCAGGGAACAAAUCUAGUUGGCGCAAGGUCAGAGCUAAAGCGAGCACUAGAAGAAAUGGAUCAUGACAGGUUGCGACACUUCCUCAUUGAAAGAGGGUGCGACUAUCCAGAAUUCAAGAUGAAUGCUCCUACAGCGAGUCACACUGGGGGAGCAUGGGAAAGGCUCAUUCGGUCCGUGAGAAGAGUUCUCCAAGCUCUCAUGGAACACUCGGGAACCCAGUUGGAUGACGAGUCUCUCCGAACCUUCAUGUGCGAAGCAGCAGCAAUAGUGAAUAGCAGACCAUUAUCGGUAACCACUCUGAAUGAGCCCACCGCCUUAGAACCUCUGACACCCAACCACUUGCUCACUCUGAAAUCAAGUGUGGUUCUGCCACCUCCUGGCGAGUUUCAGCGUGUCGAUGUCUACUCCCAAAAACGUUGGCGAAGAGUGCAGUAUCUAGCCAAUGAAUUUUGGAAUCGCUGGAAAAGGGAGUUUGUGCAAACUCUUCAAGCAAGACAGAAGUGGACACGCAGGGUACCUGACGUCCAAGUCGGAGAUGUUGUCCUGAUUGUUGACAACAAUCUACCCCGAAACCAGUGGCAACUUGGUAGAAUCUCCGAAGCUAUUCCUGGCACUGACGGCCAAGUCAGAAGAGUGAAGCUUGUUGUUGCCGACAGAUCCUUAGAUGUCAAGGGCAAACGAACACGACCAGUGACAACCCUGGAACGCCCCAUCCAGAAGCUUGUCGUGCUUCUUAAGAGUCAGGAGCACUGGGGAUUCCCCAUCGGGGAGCCUUAGUCCCAAUUUAGAGUUUCUUGUUGAUGAGUUGUGUUUGACCAGUGUUCGAAUUAUUGAACUUAGAUUUGAAGAGCUCUUUAACUAGUGUUUUUUGGCAAGUUGUUGAACAGUAUAGUUUAUACCUUUUGAUCUUAACAUGUAAGUGACGAGUAGGAAUUGAUAUUCAAUGUCAGUUUGUAAGGCUUUGAAAUGGAAAAAUUAGAAGUCACUAAUUUUGGGGAGCCAUGUAACUGCAGCCUCUGCAAAACCUAUAGGGCGCCCUCUUUUGACAACUAGGAUUGUACUUGUUGAAAGCACAUUGUUUUUAGUAGCCAUCUUUAUUGCAUGUUGUAAAUUGUACUCCAGAGCAUCUAAAAGGACCACCAGAACCUGAUUGUUUUUAAGGCCUAAAUAACCCCCAGAAGAAGCAAGGAGUUUUCACGGAGCUUUGCCAGUUCAUGUUUCGUAUUCAAUGGAUGGAACUGUAGCCUAGAUCACAGAGCCUCAAUUAUUGGAGAUUAUUUGAACUUGAGCCUGUGUGCUGAUCCCUGAUCCUUGAAUCUUUGUUCUGUACUGGAGCUGUUACCAUACUGAAGUGAGAGCUUUACAAUACAUUCUUGAAACAGCAAGCUUCUGUCGAGACCCUUGUUUAUUUGUCUUCAUCUUAUUUUGCGAGACACUGCGCCCCCUAGUGGCACACCUUAACAUAGGCCACCGACUUCAUGCGAAUCGAUAAGGCUG
Molecule: RNA transcript, 8455 nt
Organism: Patiria miniata (bat star)
Lineage: Eukaryota; Metazoa; Echinodermata; Asteroidea; Valvatida; Asterinidae
Exons: 2
Source: RefSeq, a predicted model, not a curated record